This 163-nucleotide ribosomal RNA is filed under the name Veronica scardica. RNAcentral's name for it is "5.8S ribosomal RNA". It matches the Rfam family "5.8S ribosomal RNA". Rfam says of the family: 5.8S ribosomal RNA (5.8S rRNA) is a component of the large subunit of the eukaryotic ribosome. It is transcribed by RNA polymerase I as part of the 45S precursor that also contains 18S and 28S rRNA. Functionally, it is thought that 5.8S rRNA may be involved in ribosome translocation. Lineage: Eukaryota; Viridiplantae; Streptophyta; Magnoliopsida; Lamiales; Plantaginaceae. The record is from RNAcentral.
UCUAAACGACUCUCGGCAACGGAUAUCUCGGCUCUCGCAUCGAUGAAGAACGUAGCGAAAUGCGAUACUUGGUGUGAAUUGCAGAAUCCCGUGAACCAUCGAGUCUUUGAACGCAAGUUGCGCCCGAAGCCUUCUGGCCGAGGGCACGUCUGCCUGGGCGUCA